Molecule: ribosomal RNA, 1378 nt
Filed under: Listeria monocytogenes
Lineage: Bacteria; Bacillati; Bacillota; Bacilli; Caryophanales; Listeriaceae
Description: partial 23S ribosomal RNA
Rfam family: Bacterial large subunit ribosomal RNA
Source: RNAcentral
GAUAAACUCCGAAUGCCAUGUACUUAUACUCGGGAGUCAGACUGCGAGUGAUAAGAUCCGUAGUCGAAAGGGAAACAGCCCAGACCACCAGUUAAGGUCCCCAAAUAUAUGUUAAGUGGAAAAGGAUGUGGGGUUGCUUAGACAACCAGGAUGUUGGCUUAGAAGCAGCCACCAUUGAAAGAGUGCGUAAUAGCUCACUGGUCGAGUGACCCCGCGCCGAAAAUGUACCGGGGCUAAACAUAUUACCGAAACUGUGGAUGAACCUCUUUAGAGGUUCGUGGUAGGAGAGCGUUCUAAGGGCGGUGAAGUCAGACCGGAAGGACUGGUGGAGCGCUUAGAAGUGAGAAUGCCGGUAUGAGUAGCGAAAGAAGGGUGAGAAUCCCUUCCACCGAAUAUCUAAGGUUUCCUGAGGAAGGCUCGUCCGCUCAGGGUUAGUCGGGACCUAAGCCGAGGCCGAUAGGCGUAGGCGAUGGACAACAGGUAGAGAUUCCUGUACCAGUGCUAAUUGUUUAACCGAUGGGGUGACACAGAAGGAUAGGGAAUCGCACGAAUGGAAAUGUGCGUCCAAGCAGUGAGUGUGAGAAGUAGGCAAAUCCGCUUCUCGCGAAGCAUGAGCUGUGAUGGGGAAGGAAAUUAAGUACGGAAGUUCCUGAUUUCACGCUGUCAAGAAAAGCCUCUAGGAAGAGUAGUACUGCCCGUACCGCAAACCGACACAGGUAGAUGAGGAGAGAAUCCUAAGGUGAGCGAGAGAACUCUCGUUAAGGAACUCGGCAAAAUGACCCCGUAACUUCGGGAGAAGGGGUGCUCUAUUAGGGUGCAAGCCCGAGAGAGCCGCAGUGAAUAGGCCCAGGCGACUGUUUAGCAAAAACACAGGUCUCUGCAAAACCGUAAGGUGACGUAUAGGGGCUGACGCCUGCCCGGUGCUGGAAGGUUAAGAGGAGUGCUUAGCUUCGGCGAAGGUACGAAUUGAAGCCCCAGUAAACGGCGGCCGUAACUAUAACGGUCCUAAGGUAGCGAAAUUCCUUGUCGGGUAAGUUCCGACCCGCACGAAAGGCGCAACGAUCUGGGCACUGUCUCAACGAGAGACUCGGUGAAAUUAUAGUACCUGUGAAGAUGCAGGUUACCCGCGACAGGACGGAAAGACCCCGUGGAGCUUUACUGCAACCUGAUAUGGAAUGUUUGUACCGCUUGUACAGGAUAGGUAGGAGCCGAAGAGACGUGUGCGCUAGCAUACGAGGAGGCAAUGGUGGGAUACUACCCUGGCUGUAUGACCAUUCUAACCCGCCACGCUUAGCGCGUGGGGAGACAGUGUCAGGUGGGCAGUUUGACUGGGGCGGUCGCCUCCUAAAGAGUAACGGAGGCGCCCAAAGGUUCCCUC